Molecule: small nuclear RNA, 107 nt
Organism: Callithrix jacchus (white-tufted-ear marmoset)
Lineage: Eukaryota; Metazoa; Chordata; Mammalia; Primates; Cebidae
Source: Ensembl
GUGCUCGCUUCAGCAGCACAUAUACUAAAAUUGGAACGAUACAGAGAAGAUUAGCGUGGCCCCUGCGCAAGGAUGACAUGCAAAUUUGUGAAGCGUUCCAUGUUUUU